AUUUAAUAGCUAAGGCUUUUAAAAAGGAAAUGUUGCUGCAUUAUACAAGAUGAUCCAUAGGCAAUAACGUUCCCUUCUUCAUCUCUGUAUCAACAUACAUCAAUUUACUUCAUGUUCUCCUCCUCCUUCCAAGAUCAAAUAUUCUAAUCUUCCUCCAUCGAUUUCAUGGUUAUAACAUCGAUAUACUAUGAAUAUUAUCAAUCCGAAUAUUACUUUGUAAUGAAGUAAGGUAUCGAGAAGCUUUAAAGAGGCGAUCUUGGUUUGAUCCGUUGCCUACGAUCUUCUACGAGCUCAUACGUGCAAUUAAGGUAUGUUAAGUCUAUCCCUUCUUUCUUUUUGGCAUGAUCCAAAUGAUACAAAUGAAACGAGCAAAAUACGCAACUCUCAUAAAUGACUUUAUUCAUAAAAAUACCAGGGGUGUCUAUAUUCUUGAUUCCACAUGUGAAUUAUUAUUAUAUCCUCUGUUCAUGGGUCUCAGAAAAAUACGUAUUUGAUAAAGUUUGUCCGAAAGGCAUAUUGAUUUUAUAAUAGUCGAGAAAUCUUAUUAAUGUAUUUCUUAUGCAUUUCAUGCAUUUAUACAUGUACAUUGACCCAUGACCAGAAGGCGUUAUAUACUCGCAUAUUAUGUGUAUAUGGGAUAUGGAAAAAGGUUAUGGCGUUAUAUACGCACUACCACCUGAUCAGCUGGUAUACGUUUGAUGAUUUACCCACAGUGGCCGAGAUGAUAUGAUGGGAUGCCCUUAGAGAUUUGAUGAUGUUAUGUACGCAUAUACCUAUGCAUGGUAUGACAUUUAUACGUAUAUGUAUGAUAUUAUAAAUAUGAAAUGAUUCACAGGGUUAUUCAAACUUACAUGUCUUUUACUCCAUGUUUCUCUCAUGUCUAUUAUUUACUAAUUUUCAUUCCUUACAUACUCGGUACAUUAUUUGUACUGACGUCCCUUUUGCCUGGGGACGCUGCGUUUCAUGCCUGCAGGUCCUGAUAAACAGGCUGCGAGUCCUCCAAGUAGGCUAUCAGCUCAUCGGAAGGUAUUAGUACGCUCCAUUUGCUCCGGAGUUGCUUAUUUGGUCAGUAUGAUUUGAACAUGUAUUAAUUAGUAUUACGGGGCCAUGUCCCGACCUUUUUGGUAUUCAUCUACUCUUAGAGGCUUGUAGACAUAUGUCAUGUACGUGAAAGAUUGUACGGCCUUAUCGGCCUAUGUUCAAUGUACGAGUGAUCAUUUUGGUCUUAUAGGCCCGUAUGUCAUAUGUAUAAGUUCGUAUUACAUGUUGGGUCAUCCAAUGUUGAGUGUUUCCUCA
This 1296-nucleotide long non-coding RNA is filed under the name Nicotiana tabacum (common tobacco). RNAcentral describes it as "long non-coding RNA (NTAB_LNC004591)". The record is from RNAcentral. Lineage: Eukaryota; Viridiplantae; Streptophyta; Magnoliopsida; Solanales; Solanaceae.